UGGGGAAUUUUGGACAAUGGGCGAAAGCCUGAUCCAGCAAUGCCGCGUGUGUGAAGAAGGCCUUCGGGUUGUAAAGCACUUUUGUCCGGAAAGAAAUCCUUGGCUCUAAUACAGUCGGGGGAUGACGGUACCGGAAGAAUAAGCACCGGCUAACUACGUGCCAGCAGCCGCGGUAAUACGUAGGGUGCAAGCGUUAAUCGGAAUUACUGGGCGUAAAGCGUGCGCAGGCGGUCUGCUAAGACCGAUGUGAAAUCCCCGGGCUCAACCUGGGAACUGCAUUGGUGACUGGCAGGCUAGAGUAUGGCAGAGGGGGGUAGAAUUCCACGUGUAGCAGUGAAAUGCGUAGAGAUGUGGAGGAAUACCGAUGGCGAAGGCAGCCCCCUGGGCCAAUACUGACGCUCAUGCACGAAAGCGUGGGGAGCAAAACAGGAUUAGAUACCCUGGUAGUCCACGCCCUAAACGAUGUCAACUAGUUGUUGGGGGAUUUCAUUUCCUUAGUAACGUAGCUAACGCGUGAAGUUGACCGCCU
RNAcentral lists this ribosomal RNA (529 nucleotides) under uncultured bacterium. RNAcentral describes it as "partial 16S ribosomal RNA". It matches the Rfam family "Bacterial small subunit ribosomal RNA", at positions 355 to 874 of the family's 1533-position model. The record is from RNAcentral.